This 2472-nucleotide long non-coding RNA is filed under the name Oreochromis niloticus (Nile tilapia). RNAcentral describes it as "lncRNA (ENSONIG00000027524.1)". The record is from RNAcentral. Lineage: Eukaryota; Metazoa; Chordata; Actinopteri; Cichliformes; Cichlidae.
AUGUCAUCAGUGGGAGCAUUUAUGGAGCUGAGUGACGGACGUCGGGUGUCGGAUUAUUGUCGUUCCCACAAGUGCCUGUCUCGCCGCCUGCCCGCCUGCCUGUUUCUUUGUGUGCUGGCUCAUCUUUGGAUCUGUGACAGAGACUUACCUGGCGCUGGCCUGCGAUCGCUGUCAUUCCUGUAUUCUGGUGUUUCAAGUAGCUCUGGUUCGCCACCAAUCUUCCUGCAUACCUCGGCUCCGUUUUCAUCCCCUCCGCUCUGUUUAUUCGCACAUUUACCCGGCCAUUGUAUAUAGCCCCGUCCCCCUGUAAAUAUUUCCUGACCUCUGUUAAUAAAUCUGCUUCACCGCUAUUCUGUGCCCGUGUGUGUUUCUGCCACUGAAUCCACCCGUUUAUAUGUACCUAACAUAAACACCUGGAUGGCCGCUAACUUUCUGCUUCUUACAGUUUUUCUCAAAUGCUAAAACACAAACGCCAAACCUCUAAACCAAAUGACCAGUUGUCUAAACACAUUUACUAAAUCUAGCCAUCAUUUGCCAAUAUCAUAAACACAUGUCACAUGAAGACACAAUUCACAGAACACAAUCCUCCAUCCUGUCAUAAAUCUAACCACAUUUUGCCUUGCUAAAACACCGCACAUCACAUUUAUGUGAUCAUUUGGGACAAUGUCCGCUUCCACAGAACAAACCAAAUCAGAGAGUGGUUCACCACCAACAGUGACCACUUUUUAAACGUCUGUCUGCCACCCUACUCCCCUUUCCUGAACCCUGUAGAGGAGUUCUUCUCAUCGUGGAGAUGGAAGGUUUAUGACAGACAACCAUACACAAGAGAGAACCUCCUAAGGGCAAUGGAGCUGGCCUGUGUUGACAUCCCAGCGGAGGCCUUCCAAGGAUGGAUUCGCCAUUCCAGGGCGUUUUUCCCACGGUGCCUGGCGAGAGACAAUAUAGCCUGCGAUGUGGAUGCAGCUCAGCGACAUGAUGCCGCACAGUGAUUGUGGUGUGUGUGUGGUAUGAAUAAAGUAAAUAAAAAAACUUCACACCCUGAUCAUGUUUUCAAGAGUACUGUUGUGUGCAAUAGAUUCUGUUUUUGCAUUGAGUUGUGUUACAGUAGUGUACGUACAUGCAGGAUUUUCUAUAGAUUUAUACUCUUCAUAUGAAACUCACAAAUCUAAAUGCCUAAUCCUCUGCAGAGAUCUACGACGAUCUGUUACUGUAUAGUUUCGAAAAAUAUGCAUUGGCAGUUAUGAAACGAAGAAGCUUCUCACAAAUUGAGCAUUGUGUUUUCAAUUGUUUUGCUGUAGUGUGUAAUGAUGUGUAUAGUAUUUACAUUUUUGAAAGCUUCGAGCUGCUCUUUUGGUGUGAAAGUUUGAGUUUUGCAGUGGGAAGGUGUGGUUGUGUUUAUGUAGCUUUAGAAAAGGGUGUUGUGUUUAGACAUUGGGGAACAUGGUGGGAACGUUUGUGAAAUGUGUUUUAGCAUUUGAGAAAAACUGUAAUUCAGAUCAAACUGAGGUUAUUGUACUCAGCCCUGAAAAUCUUAGAAAUAUGGUAUCUAAGAAGAUUCUUACUCUGGAUGGCAUUACCUUGGCCUCCAGUAAUGCUGUGAGGAACCUUGGAGUCAUUUUUGACCAGGACAUGUCCUUCAACGCACUUAUUAAACAAAUAUGUAGGACUGCUCUGUGUUGUCAGUGAUUACCUCCACAAAAGCACCCCGAAAGAUUUCUUACUUUUUUUUUUUGACAAUAUUUGCUGUUUGUGUGGCACACUACAAAAAAUAUAAUAACCAUACAGAACUUGGUUGAGAUGUAAUAUUUUAACAACAAAAGUAUAGGUAUCUCUCCUUCCAAAAAAUGGUUUGUUCCAGCUCGCCUCUCCCCCACUCUAGCGCACUUUCUGCCAGAGCAAUGGUGGCUAAAACGCAGCGGAGUAGAGGUGUGAGUGCCUGGCUUAAAACAGGACAUAUUAGCUGCAUUUAACCUUCAGUUACUCUUUAUAUAGUUGGUAGGAGUCAGACCAUAUUUCUCUUUAGCUGAAAAACAUUACACCAGGUAACCUGCAGUGUUGAAAACGUGUUUUCCAAUGAUGUUUGCUACCCUACAAUCCGUCCUACUCUGUAGUAAAUUCAGCGACAUUUGACCGUCCUGUUGCUCCCAUUGAAAUGUAUACAGCCUAUUUAAAAUCUAAAACUUCAAAUUGUCUGUAGCCUGCUGUUGUUACCACUGUCCUGUUUGAAAUGGAUACUAACUAGCUAACUGACUGAAUGCCCAUUAACCUUAUAACUCCUGUUGUGUGUGCGUUUGUGUAGAGAGAGACAGCCAAGUUCAUAAUGGAUAUAAGGAAGUUUUUUCAAAAACAGGAGCCACAUUCAGGUAAGUGUAAGAACAAAUGAUCCAUCAAUAAAGGAUAACGUUGGAUCAGUGUUUCAAUAUUUUAUAUCUUUUAUUAGAUGUUCAUGUGGUUUGGUUAUUUGCCUUUUGG